GUAGGGAAUAUUGGGCAAUGGUCGGAAGACUGACCCAGCCAUGCCGCGUGCAGGAAGACGGCCCUCUGGGUUGUAAACUGCUUUUAUCUGGGAAGAAAAAGGCCAUGCGUGGCAAAUUGCCGGUACCAGAUGAAUAAGCACCGGCUAACUCCGUGCCAGCAGCCGCGGUAAUACGGAGGGUGCGAGCGUUGUCCGGAUUUAUUGGGUUUAAAGGGUGCGUAGGCGGCUGAUUAAGUCAGCGGUGAAAGACUUCGGCUUAACCGGAGCAGUGCCGUUGAUACUGGUUGGCUUGAGUGUCGGAGGGGUACAUGGAAUUGAUGGUGUAGCGGUGAAAUGCAUAGAUACCAUCAGGAACACCGAUAGCGAAGGCAUUGUACUGGCCGACAACUGACGCUGAUGCACGAAAGUGUGGGGAUCGAACAGGAUUAGAUACCCGGGGUAGUCC
Molecule: ribosomal RNA, 445 nt
Filed under: uncultured bacterium
Lineage: Bacteria
Description: partial 16S ribosomal RNA
Rfam family: Bacterial small subunit ribosomal RNA
Source: RNAcentral